RNAcentral lists this ribosomal RNA (534 nucleotides) under uncultured archaeon. RNAcentral describes it as "bacterial SSU rRNA". It matches the Rfam family "Bacterial small subunit ribosomal RNA", at positions 509 to 1050 of the family's 1533-position model. The record is from RNAcentral.
CAGCAGCCGCGGUAAUACGUAGGGAGCGAGCGUUAUCCGGAUUUAUUGGGUGUAAAGCGUGUGUAGGCGGAAAUAUAAGUCUAAGGUUUAAGCCCGGAGCUCAACUCCGGUUCGCCUUAGAAACUGUAUUUCUUGAGUAUGGUAGAGGCAAGUGGAAUUUCUAGUGUAGCGGUAAAAUGCGUAGAUAUUAGAAGGAACACCAGUGGCGAAGGCGACUUGCUGGGCCAUUACUGACGCUGAGACACGAAAGCGUGGGGAGCAAAUAGGAUUAGAUACCCUAGUAGUCCACGCCGUAAACGAUGGAUACUAAGUGUCGGGCAACCGGUGCUGAAGUUAACACAUUAAGUAUCCCACCUGAGUAGUACGGCCGCAAGGCUGAAACUCAAAGGAAUUGACGGGCACCCGCACAAGCGGUGGAGCAUGCUGUUUAAUUCGAAGAUACGCGAAAAACCUUACCUGGGCUUGACAUCCCUCUGACAGUUCUAGAAAUAGAAUCUUCCUUUCGGGGACAGGGGUGACAGGAGGUGCAUGGCC